Molecule: small nucleolar RNA, 138 nt
Organism: Rattus norvegicus (Norway rat)
Lineage: Eukaryota; Metazoa; Chordata; Mammalia; Rodentia; Muridae
Product: small nucleolar RNA SNORA42/SNORA80 family
Source: Ensembl
GCAUAUUAAAAGAGACCAUUGUGGCAGGCCCAUUCCCCUGGGCCUCUCAUAGUGUCCUGUGCUAUAGCAACCUGUGGCCAAACACCAUGGCCUGGCCCCUGUCUGUAGGCUGCUGGCACUGAAAUGGGUCGCACAGUA